AGAGUUUGAUCAUGGCUCAGAACGAACGCUGGCGGCAGGCUUAACACAUGCAAGUCGAACGCUCGUAGCAAUACGGGAGUGGCAGACGGGUGAGUAACGCGUGGGAACAUACCCUCCGGUUCGGAAUAGCUCAGGGAAACUUGGAUUAAUACCGGAUACGGCUGAGAGGCGAAAGAUUUAUCGCCGGAGGAUUGGCCCGCGUUCGAUUAGCUUGUUGGUGAGGUAACGGCUCACCAAGGCGAUGAUCGAUAGCUGGUCUGAGAGGAUGAUCAGCCACAUUGGGACUGAGACACGGCCCAAACUCCUACGGGAGGCAGCAGUGGGGAAUAUUGGACAAUGGGCGCAAGCCUGAUCCAGCCAUGCCGCGUGAGUGAUGACGGCCUUAGGGUUGUAAAGCUCUUUCGCUCGGGACGAUAAUGACGGUACCGAGAUAAGAAGCCCCGGCUAACUUCGUGCCAGCAGCCGCGGUAAUACGAAGGGGGCUAGCGUUGUUCGGAAUUACUGGGCGUAAAAGCGCGUGUAGGCGGGUCUUUAAGUCAGGGGUGAAAUGCCAAGGCUCAACCUUGGAACUGCCUUUGAUACUGGAGACCUUGAGUCCGGGAGAGGUGAGUGGAAUUGCGAGUGUAGAGGUGAAAUUCGUAGAUAUUCGCAAGAACACCAGUGGCGAAGGCGGCUCACUGGCCCGGAACUGACGCUGAGACGCGAAAGCGUGGGGAGCAAACAGGAUUAGAUACCCUAGUAGUCC
RNAcentral lists this ribosomal RNA (745 nucleotides) under uncultured bacterium. Its description in RNAcentral is "bacterial SSU rRNA". It matches the Rfam family "Bacterial small subunit ribosomal RNA", at positions 8 to 796 of the family's 1533-position model. The record is from RNAcentral.